GACGAACGCUGGCGGCGUGCUUAACACAUGCAAGUCGAACGAAGUGGCGAACGGGUGAGUAAUGUCUGGGAAACUGCCCUUCAGAGGGGGACAACAGUUGGAAACGACUGCUAAUACCGCAUACUGAAGGAGGGGAUUGCGGCUGAUUAGCUAGUUGGAGGGGUAACGGACCACCAAGGCGAUGAUCAGUAGCCGGUAUGAGAGGAUGACCGGCCACAGUGGGACUGAGACACGGCCCAGACGCCUACGGGAUGCAGCAGUGGGGAAUCUUCCGCAAUGGACGAAAGUCUGACGGAGCAACGCGGCGUGAGUGAUGACGGCCUUCGGGUUGUAAAGCUCUGUUAAUCGGGACGCGGUACCGGAAUAGAAAGCCACGGCUAACUACGUGCCAGCAGCCGCGGUAAUUC
RNAcentral lists this ribosomal RNA (407 nucleotides) under uncultured bacterium. Its description in RNAcentral is "partial 16S ribosomal RNA". It matches the Rfam family "Bacterial small subunit ribosomal RNA", at positions 28 to 526 of the family's 1533-position model. The record is from RNAcentral.